AGAUAAAAAGGAGAUAAGAAAAGUAACAAAAAUAGAAAAUAUUUUUAUUUUAUUUUAGGUAUAUAUAUAUAUAUUGACAUUUUUUUUUAUGAAAAGAAAAACAACUAUGCUAGCAAUUUCCGGCAACGGCGCCAAAAAUUGAUAGUCAACUUUAAAGACCAUGCACUAGCACGUAUCUGGUAGGAUAGUGAUUCCGGGUAUCGAUCCACAGGGAUAGGGGUACAGUUGUAUUCUUAAAAAUAAUGUAAAAGAGAGAGUUUAAAGACUAUUAAACUAAGCAAUUUAAUAAGAAAUGCAAUUAAAAUGCU
RNAcentral lists this long non-coding RNA (308 nucleotides) under Phoenix dactylifera (date palm). RNAcentral's name for it is "long non-coding RNA (PDAC_LNC008893)". Lineage: Eukaryota; Viridiplantae; Streptophyta; Magnoliopsida; Arecales; Arecaceae. The record is from RNAcentral.